GAUGAACGCUGGCGGCGUGCCUAAUACAUGCAAGUCGAGCGAACAGACGAGGAGCUUGCUCCUCUGACGUUAGCGGCGGACGGGUGAGUAACACGUGGAUAACCUACCUAUAAGACUGGGAUAACUUCGGGAAACCGGAGCUAAUACCGGAUAAUAUAUUGAACCGCAUGGUUCAAUAGUGAAAGACGGUUUUGCUGUCACUUAUAGAUGGAUCCGCGCCGCAUUAGCUAGUUGGUAAGGUAACGGCUUACCAAGGCAACGAUGCGUAGCCGACCUGAGAGGGGGAUCGGCCACACUGGAACUGAGACACGGUCCAGACUACUACGGGAGGCAGCAGUAGGGAAUCUUCCGCAAUGGGCGAAAGCCUGACGGAGCAACGCCGCGUGAGUGAUGAAGGUCUUCGGAUCGUAAAACUCUGUUAUUAGGGAAGAACAAAUGUGUAAGUAACUAUGCACGUCUUGACGGUACCUAAUCAGAAAGCCACGGCUAACUACGUG
This 497-nucleotide ribosomal RNA is filed under the name uncultured bacterium. RNAcentral's name for it is "partial 16S ribosomal RNA". It matches the Rfam family "Bacterial small subunit ribosomal RNA", at positions 28 to 507 of the family's 1533-position model. The record is from RNAcentral.